This 268-nucleotide long non-coding RNA is filed under the name Carica papaya (papaya). RNAcentral's name for it is "long non-coding RNA (CPAP_LNC002790)". Lineage: Eukaryota; Viridiplantae; Streptophyta; Magnoliopsida; Brassicales; Caricaceae. The record is from RNAcentral.
UUGGCCUUGGUUUAGCUCCUGGUUUCCUCUUCUCGGUAAACUCGCGACUCCCUUGUAUGUUUGCGACUGGAAUGGUGAAUUUUUAUGCCUAGAAAAGACGAAAAGGACAAAGCUUUGCCUUGCUUGCCUCGGUCUUUUCCGUCACACGACAUCUCAGUCAUUCCUUCUUUAUCCUUCUUCCUUUCGGUUUAGCUUCCACACUCUCUUGCCUCCGUCCCUCUCUUCUUUUCUUCCUCCCUCGCGGCGGUCACUCUUUGGCUCCCCUUCU